CAAUAGCGUAUAUUUAAGUUGUUGCAGUUAAAAAGCUCGUAGUCGGAUUUCUGGUGGGAGCGAUCGGUCUGGCGCUUAGCGCGAGUACUUGCAUCGUCUCCGGCCAUCCUUGGGGAGAGUCUGUCUGGCAUUAGGUUGUCGGGCAGAGGAUCCUCAUCGUUUACUGUGAAAAAAUUAGAGUGUUCAAAGCAGGCUUAUGCCGUUGAAUAUAUUAGCAUGGAAUAAUAAGAUAGGACUUUGGUACUAUUUUGUUGGUUUGCGCACCAAAGUAAUGAUUAAUAGGGACAGUUGGGGGUAUUCGUAUUCCGUUGUCAGAGGUGAAAUUCUUGGAUUUACGGAAGACGAACUACUGCGAAAGCAUUUACCAAGGAUGUUUUCAUUAA
Molecule: ribosomal RNA, 383 nt
Filed under: uncultured eukaryote
Lineage: Eukaryota
Description: partial 18S ribosomal RNA
Rfam family: Eukaryotic small subunit ribosomal RNA
Source: RNAcentral